UUAAAAACUACCCAUGCAUGGUUGGGACUACAGUAUGUUGUCCUCGAGCCAAAAUACAGGUAGUUUUAUGAUAGAUGUGUGUGGUACUGCACUUUGUCACCGACAUAACCAUUGUUGGUUUCGUUCAUUUCAACUUUUAAUAAGAAAAAUAUUAUAUUUUAUUCCCCAUCUUGUUAUUGGUGUUUUAAUAAUCAAAUAGCCAUAGGGAAAUUAUUGAUCCAAAUAAUUAUUGAAUGCACACACUGUACACUCAGACAAACAAAUCAACAGUGAGAGAGCCAUCUAUUGCUAAUAAACAAAGCAAACAGUAUUUAUCAUGUACACAUACUGCACAGAGGGCUAUUUCAUUUCCCUGUUAUGAUAUCUAACAGUACAUAAGGUAUCAUGUACACCAUACAUGCAAAUGACCAGGGAUAAGGUACCCAUGUCACCCUGAGAAAUGGUGUUCCUCUGUGUUGCUGUUCUAAUAAAUCAUGGGAUGCAUGCUAAUGAUUUUCACUAUUUGUCGUAUAGUACAGUUACUUCAACAGUACUGUAUGUAUGAGAACUGAAAAGAGCAGUUAGAGAGACUAUCUAUAAUGGCACAUUGUGUAUGUAGCUGUAUUAUUUGUGUAUAUCAAUAUAUUCACUAUCCAUCACGAUCUGAUGAGCUAUUAGGACAUUAUCAUUACUAUUAGUUGAGUAUUCAUUUUAAAACAGAUUAACACCCAAUGUAAUGAUAAUAGCUAAGGGGUCAACUGACAUUUUUGUUUGUCCAGGGAUCUCCAGGCCUAAUAAGGGAUACAUUAUUAGAAAACGUUUGACACAGAGAAGGUUGUGGGGCUUCACUGACCAUGUCUGAACAGGCCUAGUCACCCUGACUGACCCCAACUGGUCCAGAUGAUUGACAGGGAGGGGUGGUCAGUUCCUUCGGACGUCUGAGUAGACGGUGGAUGCAGCAUCAGGGGCAGGCUUAUGGGCAGGUUUUUUCACCUGGGUGUACUGGGAUUGGUGGGCCUGGUAGGUGGGUUAGGUCGGCUGACCGGGCCGGUUGUUGACUCUGACCGUAGCGUACUCUGUGGAGGAAAUACCCAGGUUCCCCAGCUGAACUGACCCACCAUCCCUCUUCUGGAAUUGUGUGAUGUCUGCAUAGUUCAGCUCCUAGGAGGAGAGAGGAGAGACAUGUCUUAGUUCAGUCCUGACCAUGACCUGACAAGGACAAACUCAGGGACCUUUUUGUACUGCAUCACAUCUAGAGCUAUAAGCACCAGAGCAGUGGAUAAUUACAAACACAGAGUUAGUUCAGUCAACUUUUUUUGGUUAUUUC
Oncorhynchus tshawytscha (Chinook salmon) is the source of this 1306-nucleotide long non-coding RNA. The record is from Ensembl. Lineage: Eukaryota; Metazoa; Chordata; Actinopteri; Salmoniformes; Salmonidae.